This 302-nucleotide ribosomal RNA is filed under the name uncultured bacterium. RNAcentral describes it as "partial 16S ribosomal RNA". It matches the Rfam family "Bacterial small subunit ribosomal RNA", at positions 508 to 807 of the family's 1533-position model. The record is from RNAcentral.
GCAGUCGCCGCGGUAAUACGUAGGUGGCAAGCGUUGUCCGGAAUUAUUGGGCGUAAAGGGCUCGCAGGCGGUUUCUUAAGUCUGAUGUGAAAGCCCCCGGCUCAACCGGGGAGGGUCAUUGGAAACUGGGAAACUUGAGUGCAGAAGAGGAGAGUGGAAUUCCACGUGUAGCGGUGAAAUGCGUAGAGAUGUGGAGGAACACCAGUGGCGAAGGCGACUCUCUGGUCUGUAACUGACGCUGAGGGGCGAAAGCGUGGGGAGCGAACAGGAUUAGAUACCCGUGUAGUCCCUGUCUCUUAUAC